AGGCCGGUAGCUCAACUGGUAGAGUAGCGGUCUCCAAAACCGUUGGCUGUGGGUUCAAGUCCCGCCCGGCCUG
This 73-nucleotide transfer RNA is filed under the name Spirochaetota bacterium. RNAcentral describes it as "Spirochaetes bacterium (hot springs metagenome) tRNA-Trp". It matches the Rfam family "tRNA". From Rfam's summary of the family: Transfer RNA (tRNA) molecules are approximately 80 nucleotides in length. Their secondary structure includes four short double-helical elements and three loops (D, anti-codon, and T loops). Further hydrogen bonds mediate the characteristic L-shaped molecular structure. tRNAs have two regions of fundamental functional importance: the anti-codon, which is responsible for specific mRNA codon recognition, and the 3' end, to which the tRNAs corresponding amino acid is attached (by aminoacyl-tRNA synthetases). tRNAs cope with the degeneracy of the genetic code in two manners: having more than one tRNA (with a specific anti-codon) for a particular amino acid; and 'wobble' base-pairing, i.e. permitting non-standard base-pairing at the 3rd anti-codon position. The record is from RNAcentral. Lineage: Bacteria; Pseudomonadati; Spirochaetota.